Molecule: non-coding RNA, 774 nt
Filed under: Phyllothelys sp. 1 JZ-2017
Lineage: Eukaryota; Metazoa; Arthropoda; Insecta; Mantodea; Hymenopodidae
Also listed under: 1 other name
Source: RNAcentral
CUUAAAAUAUUCAUUAUAAUAUUAAUUUAUAUGUAUAUUUAUGUAUGUAAUAAUUUCUAGAGGAAUUUAUUUGAAUAUGUUGCAGUAAAUAAUUUUAUUGAUAUUAGGUUAAUUUAGAUUUAGUAAAUAAUUAAAGGUUUGGUUAAAGUUGUGCCAGCAUCCGCGGUUAGACAAUAAAAUCAAGUGAAUGGUUGUUGGUUUAAGUAAUUAACAUAUUGUUAAUAUAGAAAUUUUAGUAUUUUGGGGUGAAAUAUUUAAGUAUUUUAAGGUAUAUAUAAUGAGGUGUGAAUAUAAUUGUGAAAAUGAAAAUGUAAACUAGGAUUAGAUACCCUACUAUUUUUAUUGUAAAGGAAAACCAAAAUAUUAAUAGUUAUGAUCUUAAAAUUUAAAGAAUUUGGCGGUAUUAUAAUCUAUUUAGAGGAAUCUGUUAUGUAAUUGAUGAUCCACGUUGAAUCUUACUUAUAUUAUUUCUUGUAUAUCGCUGUUUAAGAAAAUACUUUAAGGUUAUUUUCUUGAGAUAUAAUUUUUUAAUAGUUCAAGUCAAGGUGCAGUAAUAUAUAAGUUAAAUAAUGGGUUACAAUAAAUUGUAUUUAUUAUGGAUUUUUAUUGAAAUAUAUAUUGAAAGUGGAUUUAAUUGUAAUUUUAUAAAGAUUAUUAAAAUGAUUUUGGGCUCUAUAUUAUGUACAUAUUGCCCGUCACUCUCGUCUUAAAAUGAGAUAAGUCGUAACAAAGUAGAUGUAUCGGAAGGUGUAUCUAGAAAGAAAGAAAUAUUAA